GGAGAGGGGAGUGAAAUAGAUCCUGAAACCGUGUGCGUACAAGCAGUAGGAGCUCGCAAGAGUGACUGCGUACCUUUUGUAUAAUGGGUCAGCGACUUACUGUUCGUGGCAAGCUUAACCGUAUAGGGGAGGCGAAGGGAAACCGAGUCUGAUAAGGGCGCAUAGUCGUGGGCAGUAGACCCGAAACCGGGUGAUCUAGUCAUGGCCAGGGUGAAGGUGCCGUAACAGGUACUGGAGGCCCGAACCCACGUCUGUUGCAAAAGACGGGGAUGAGCUGUGAUUAGGAGUGAAAAGCUAAUCGAACCCGGAGAUAGCUGGUUCUCCUCGAAAGCUAUUUAGGUAGCGCCUCAUAUGUAUCCUCUCGGGGGUAGAGCACUGUUAUGGCUAGGGGGUCAUCGCGACUUACCAAACCAUUGCAAACUCCGAAUACCGAGACGGACUGUAUGGGAGACACACGGCGGGUGCUAACGUCCGUCGUGAAAAGGGAAACAACCCAGACCCACAGCUAAGGUCCCAAAUUCACUGCUAAGUGGAAAACGAUGUGGAAAGGCAUAGACAGCCAGGAGGUUGGCUUAGAAGCAGCCACCCUUUAAAGAAAGCGUAAUAGCUCACUGGUCGAGUCGGUCUGCGCGGAAGAUUUAACGGGGCUAAGCAGUGAACCGAAGCUUGGGGUGCAUAAAACGUGUUUUAUGCGCGGUAGAGGAGCGUUCCGUAAGCCUGCGAAGGUGGAUUGAGAAGUCUGCUGGAGGUAUCGGAAGUGCGAAUGCUG
Molecule: ribosomal RNA, 769 nt
Filed under: Acinetobacter guillouiae
Lineage: Bacteria; Pseudomonadati; Pseudomonadota; Gammaproteobacteria; Moraxellales; Moraxellaceae
Description: partial 23S ribosomal RNA
Rfam family: Bacterial large subunit ribosomal RNA
Source: RNAcentral